AGUUAGAAGGAAUAAAAGUGAGAUAAUGAAUUGUCAUUAAUGUGUAAAGUGAAGGACCAAAGUUGAUAUUCUGCAAAGGAUUAUGGUGGUAAUUAAUCCAUAGUAAUUAGAUUAGUGUAGAAGCUCAAUCCUAGCUGUACCGGUCCAAAUUUGACCGGGCCUAAAUCAGCCUAAUAUACCCAAGCCCAAAACUAACCCCAAAGACCCAGACCCGAUUACAAACAAGCCCAAACCACCAGUAGAAAAAAAAGAAGAAGCAGCAAACCCUAGGGCCACUUGCCUCCACUUGCACUGCCUCCGUCCCAUCAUCCCAUCACCUGCAAAACAAACAGAGAGCAGAAAGCACGCAAAAGAGAAGCAAAACAAAGCAGAAGCAGAAGCAGCAAGCAAUAGCAGAGAUCAAAAAAAAUAUUUCUUUUGUAACCGACUAUAAAGUCGAAAAGGAAAUCAAACGAGAGGGGACUCGAUUGUAUUUGCAAAAAAAGAGGGAUUUUCAAUAUUCAAAAACGAAUACAAUAUAAGAGAAUAAAGCCAGCAAAAGGAUUGAUUAAAAAGGUAGAUCUUUGUGCUUUACAUACCGAAUAUAGUGUACAUACAUAGAUAGUUGUAUAGAUAUAAUAUUUUUACCUUUUUUUGGGCGAUCGGAAAGAUGGAAACCGAAUGGUUUUCUCGGUUUUUCGCAACGGUUGUGGGUCUUUUUGUUGUUUGAGGCUCAGAUUUGGAACGAGGGGAGCAAAAGGGGUCGAAUAGGCGCCAUCUUCGUACCUCCGGCCACCGGCGAUGGACUGCGACGGUCCCCUGUGGCCGGACUUAAGACCCCAGCGGAGAAAAACAAAAGAGCUUCUAAAUUUUUUAGAAAUUUGGCAGAAGUGAUGAUUUUUUUUUCAAAAAAAGGUGGCUUAAAUAGGUGCAUAAAACGGCACCGUAUUGGGAGGAUGCUUUCAACGCAAAAACGGCACCGUUUGGUGCUAGACCCGCGACCCGAUCCAAUUGAUAACAGGACCCGCGUGUUUUCUUCCCUAAAAGGGAUAUGUGCACGUUUGAUCCCUCCCUUUUGCGUGGUCAUUCAAUUAGGCCAUCUAUGCUUUCCUUUGUCUUUUUAAUUCGUCCCUGAAAUUUGCACGUUAUUGCAAAUUAAUCCACGUCUAAACGCAGCGUUGUGCUAUUUGGUAUAUUUUCGGUUUCGAUCCUCAAUUAUUUAUGUGCAUUUGUAUUUUGAUCCUUGGCUCAGUUUUUAAUAGUUUGUUUUAUUUAAAAAUUAUCC
Molecule: long non-coding RNA, 1264 nt
Filed under: Gossypium barbadense (sea-island cotton)
Lineage: Eukaryota; Viridiplantae; Streptophyta; Magnoliopsida; Malvales; Malvaceae
Description: long non-coding RNA (GBAR_LNC002431)
Source: RNAcentral